AUCCCUAGCUCAUUUUGGCUGCGGUGCCUUUGGCUGACUGAAUGACAGCGAGGUAAACACAAUAUUUACACAGCCAGAAGUCCGGACCAGCUCGCAUUUAAAAGACAUCAACACGAAAGGGUUAAAACGAUGCAUUUGAAUUACCAAAGUAAACACGAUAUACGAAAAUACAAAAAUACGAAAAUACUUUUGAGUCCGUUG
Drosophila melanogaster (fruit fly) is the source of this 201-nucleotide non-coding RNA. The record is from Ensembl. Lineage: Eukaryota; Metazoa; Arthropoda; Insecta; Diptera; Drosophilidae.